UUUACUUUUAUUCUCUUUCCAAGCUCGAACUCUCCGAGAAAACCCAUGAACAGAACUUCACCACUUCCAUGUUCACCACCAGAAUAUCAAUAAACAAGAAGUAUUUUUCUCAACAAAAUCAGAAAUCAAUACCUCUCUGAGUGGUUAAUCAACUGUAAAUCAAAAACAUCUGUUAGGGAGAAAGCAGGAUUGGCAGGAUAGGUCUAAAAACAUGAGGAGAGGGAAACAAGAAGCAGACAAUAAUAAGAAUGAUAACUCUCCCAAGCCGAGUUUGCCAGGGUUUAAUGAAAUUCCUAAACAGAUUGAUCCCAGAAUGAAGGAAAAGGAUCACCUUAUGCGGAAGAAGAGGACUUGAAGAAGAAUGUGCUUAAGAUUCCCCCAACAUCAGUUGUUAAAACAACUCGCGGAUCAUUUGCUGCUAUCAUUAUAUGUAUCCGUUUUCGGCAUUUUAGAUUCCAAAUUUCGGGGUGGCAUAGCUUGACGAGAAAACAGGUGAAGAAGGAGGACAUUGAUUUUGAAUAUGAAGAAAAGAAGGAGUUUACUGUGAUGGAUGCAACGGCACAAGUUGUUCUAACAAUGUUGAGAAUAAUACUUUUAGGCAAAAGACUGUGGAAGCUAAUUUAGAACUUAAUCUGAAUGCAUUCCGACCAGAUAUUGCUAGUAGUUCUCAUGGAGUUCUUGACACUAAGAUGUCAUGUCAAUUCCCAAGACAAAUGAGAACUUCCAUCUCCUUUAUGACACCAAGGGUCGUUUCAGACUCCACUCAAUGAAGGAUGAAGAGGCCAAAGUCAGUCUUUCGUUUUGUUGUUUUCACAGCCGUACGGGUUCACGCUUGCAAGGUCCCUAAUGUGCAUUUUGGAACAAAGGGUAUCCCAUAAAUUAACACAUUUGAUGGCCGCACUAUCUGCUACCCAAAUCCCCUUGUCAAGGCCGACGAUACCAUCAGGCAUGAUCUUGAGAGCAACAAGAUUAAUUUCAUCAAAUUUGAGAUUGGCAUCGUUGUCAUGGUCAUUGGACGAAGAAACAGAGACCGUGUUGGUGUCAUUAAGAACAGAGAAAAGCAUAAGGGAAGUUUUGAUACCCUUCACAUCCAGGAUAACACCGAUCAUGAAUUUGCCACCUGUUUGGCAAAUGUCUUCAACAAUGGUAAGGGAUCAAAUCCAUGGGUGACCCUCCCCAAGGGCAAGGGUAUCAAGUUAAUCAUCAUCAAAGAGGCAAGGGAGCGUCUUGCAGCACAAGGAUCCGCUACUUCUUGAGUUUGCUACUGCUUAAGUUUUACUAUGAUGAUAAAAUUCUGAUAGGUUUCAGAUAGUUUAUUAAAGAAUUACUUUGGAUUGCUCUCUUUCCUUAUUGUGUUUUGUUUCAUUGGUUGUCAAUGUAUAGAGAAAGAUUUUGUAACUGCUAUAUUCAGCUUAGACCGCUAUUGUCACCUUAUCCUAAUUCUUUUGGAAUACGGAGAAGUAAAUGUUGUCUUGCAGUAACUAGUAUAAUGAGAUGCUCACUAUCUUCGGUUUACUAGAUAGUGGAUUUCUUCUGGAAUGCGGAAA
Papaver somniferum (opium poppy) is the source of this 1547-nucleotide long non-coding RNA. RefSeq lists it as uncharacterized. NCBI's taxonomy places the organism in Eukaryota, Viridiplantae, Streptophyta, Magnoliopsida, Ranunculales, Papaveraceae. The record is from RefSeq and is a predicted model, not a curated record. The transcript is spliced from 7 exons.